Molecule: long non-coding RNA, 199 nt
Filed under: Gossypium barbadense (sea-island cotton)
Lineage: Eukaryota; Viridiplantae; Streptophyta; Magnoliopsida; Malvales; Malvaceae
Description: long non-coding RNA (GBAR_LNC000560)
Source: RNAcentral
AACAUCGUUGAUAAUCUUGAAACAUCUAGUAAAAGUAUUGAAUGAGUUAGUUAAAUAAUAAAAAAAAUUUGCAAAAAUAAAUUAAAUAAACAUUUAACUUUAUAAACUAAUGCUAAGUAUGUUACCUUCUUGAUCUUCGGGUAUUUUGGAUAAGUCUAGCAAAUUUAAAAACAAAAGUGUUAGUUAAAUUAUGGGAAUG